Molecule: non-coding RNA, 219 nt
Organism: Paramuricea clavata
Lineage: Eukaryota; Metazoa; Cnidaria; Anthozoa; Malacalcyonacea; Plexauridae
Source: the annotation of a GenBank genome assembly
CGGGUCUCUGUAAAGAACGGAAACCGAAACGACCGAAUCCGGAAACGACCGAAACCGGAAACGACCGAAACCGGAAAUUCCCGCCUAAUUUCCUGCCUAAAAUUGCCUAAAAUUUAGCCUGCUCUGAACCACAGAAUAGGAAGUUAUACCAGAAGCGUAACUCUAGUCGUCUCCCUUAUUGUUUGACGUCCACGAAAAUUUUUAACUCGCUCACGUCAG